RNAcentral lists this long non-coding RNA (490 nucleotides) under Malus domestica (apple). RNAcentral describes it as "long non-coding RNA (MDOM_LNC011989)". The record is from RNAcentral. Lineage: Eukaryota; Viridiplantae; Streptophyta; Magnoliopsida; Rosales; Rosaceae.
GGUAAUGAAAUAUUUUGUGCGGUGACAGAAUAUUGCAUUUUCGUUGAUCAACUCAGCCACCGGCGCAUGUCGACCACCUCUUGGUGCAUGGCGGCGCGUGGUGGCGACCCAUGACAGUGUAUGGCGGCGGUCGGUGGUUUUCGAAUACCGAUUUUGGCAGCUUGAUCUUUGUUUUUUUGGUAAUCUUCAUAGUUUUCGUUUACUUACUAAGUAAGGGUUGUUUAUUUUAGCGCGUUUAGCAAGAUGUGCGAGACCCUAUAUUUUUAAAGUAAGCUUAUAAGUUAGUUGUUUAGCUCAUGGGAAUUAUACUAGAAAUUUAUGUUUGAAUUGUUUUAUGAGAAAGGAUCAUCGUUGGAUUCUCUUUGUGAGGAUUCCGGGGAUCCUCCAAUCGUAAAUGUUCAUCGUACAUCGUGCGACCAGUUUUUAUCAGGUACUGUUUAUAUUCAAUUUUAAAUAAAAAGACUUAUAAUGAUUUCUGAUCGCGCGAUGU